UACGGAGGGGGCUAGCGUUGUUCGGAAUUACUGGGCGUAAAGCGCACGUAGGCGGAUCAGUCAGUCAGAGGUGAAAUCCCGGAGCUCAACUUCGGAACUGCCUUUGAUACUGCUGAUCUAGAGUCCGGGAGAGGUGCAUGGAAUUCCGAGUGUAGAGGUGAAAUUCGUAGAUAUUCGGAGGAACACCAGAGGCGAAGGCGAUGCACUGGACCGGUACUGACGCUGAGGUGCGAAAGCGUGGGGAGCAAACAGGAUUAGAUACCCGUGUAGU
Molecule: ribosomal RNA, 271 nt
Filed under: uncultured bacterium
Lineage: Bacteria
Description: partial 16S ribosomal RNA
Rfam family: Bacterial small subunit ribosomal RNA
Source: RNAcentral